AUGCAGUAUAUGUAAGGACAGUCGUUUGUUCACAUUGUAUAUGAAUUGAAUUUAUUUUAAUUCUAUCACUCUGCAUAAAUUGUGCAGUUGAAUCUGCAAUCCCAUUCUAGAAUAUUUUCACGGGAACCUCAAGGUGACUGGGAAAGUAUCGUGGUAGUGGAUAGAGGUACACGUGACCUCUCGCUCCGAGGCACAUCUCCACCCUUCAAUGUUUUUCACAAUAAAACUCAUAAUAUUCACCAAGUUGUGAUGCAUGUAUUAUCAUACCAAUGUCGUGCUGGUUGAAACUGUUGUUAACGUUGAAGUGAUUUUGAUGGGCCUUCUAAUUACAGUUUGUUAAAAUCAAUGUAAAUUACCUGGGCUAUAUGGAAAAGAAAUAGGAAGUGAAUUUAAGAAUUAGACUUUAUGUCAGUAGAUACGGGGGAAAUCCGGAGUAAAAAUAGCAAUACCAUAGGGUACCCCAAGAUGUAAAUCAAUAAAAGAUAUACUGUACAAAAAAAUCAACCCCAUGGAUAUAUUUUGAGAUUUCUUUGCGGGGAUUUCAACAAAUUGAUAUGAAGAUCCAGCUUUAGGUCACAAUACAAGAAUUAUAAGUAUGGUGUGUACAAUAAAAAAAAUCCUGUAUAAACUAGUUCACGAACUCUUACGUACCCACUGUCCUUAAAGGGAUUUAAGAAGUUUCAGCAGAUUUUAUGUAAGAUAUUGAUUCUUCUAAAUGAUUUUUAAAAAUUUCUAUCGUGUUUACUAUACCAUUCUUUGCUAGUUAGCUGUUGUUGGAACUGUGAAAGAAUAAAAGUCCUCGCAAGUGAUUGAGGGAUUUUGAGGGAUGAACACAAAAAAUCGUGCCCCCUGGUUACCGUUUUGUUGGAGAGGCAAUGAAAAAUACCAGUUAGGAUAUUGACGUGACACAUGAUCACUCGCUAAUCAUUUGUCUGUUGUGUGUCUUCUUCAAUUGCACUCUCUUGAACCAGAACAAUAAUUAAAUAAUUCAAUUAACUUCUCUUGAAUCCAUCUGUUGCACUACUACGCGUAUUCUUAUUCUUGUAAGCACUGGAGUAAGAGCAUCAGGUUUGUUUGUUUAAAAAAAAAAACCUAAUUCUCAAAACUCUGUCUUCUUUUUACUGUAAACAAUAUCGGAUAUUUUCAGUCAUUACGCCGUCAGUUUUGAAUUGUUUUUAUCGUUUAUUAAACUCGUUGUAAUCGAACGAAAACAGAUUAGAUGAAAACAAGCCUGUCUGUUUUGCAUGUUAUUUGACUUUAAUUAGUAUUCACCAUUGUUGUAGAAUGAGUGUCAGAAAAUUAUGCUUAUAGUUUUAAUGCAACAUUAUCUUGGCACGCGUCUGGCAUAUCAGCUCAGAAACUACAGACAUCGUAUUGUGUGUUUUUUCGUACCUUCUGUGCAGAAGAGGAUUUAGGCAGAUUGCACAGAGUGUAAAGAAACUUCAGCACUAAGCAAAGAAAUUCGAAAAGUUACGAUGCAUCAACAACUGACGAUUCGCCAAGAUUUCCCUUAUCAAAUAUUUUCUAUUUCUGAUAAGUUUUAAAGACAUAUAUCUUCGGUGUGUUUGGUUGCGAGUUGUGAAGAAUACGGCGUUAGUGUCUGAGAUUCAUUCAUUGGGACGGUGCCAUCCCAUACUGCUUUGCUCGUACCAUCUCAUUCGUGCAAAAAAGAAACACUGCCCCGUUAUACGAGUAGAAAGGGAUUGGAAAAUGCAUUGGAAGAAUUGGGAGAUGUAGUGCAGUAGCCUUUUGAUAUUUUUUGCCUUUUUAAUCUUUUGGACCAAUUUUCACCAUGUCGUACAGACGUUAUUCCAGAGACUUAGAUAGUUCGCCGUCUUAUGACCGGGGAUAUGGCAGUAUUUCGAGUGGAAGAAGCCAUGGAUCCACUUAUGAUAACAUGGGAACAAGUAAAGGGUACGGAUCAACUGGUAAAUUCGGAGCAGGAAGUAGCAACUAUCUAAGUCCAUCUUACGGGUCUUCAUCUAAAAAUUACUCUUCAUCCAGUUACCAACCAUCCAAUCGUUAUUCAUACGGAGGAUCUAGUCCAUACAGUAGUGGCAACAGAUAUUCAUCCUACAGUGGAGGAAGCGGAUUAUAUAGCCCCGUGAAGGAUAGAAUCCAGCGAUUCUCAACGGCCGAAAACCGCUCCUCAAGGCAAGACAUGUAUUCACCUAUUAACAGCAGCCGUGCCCCUUCUGUUGGAAGGGACAUGCCAUACGGAUAUGAUAAGCAUUCCACAAGAAGCGCAAGCUCUGAUCCAUACGCCAAUAGAUCUGGCUAUCUCUCUGACUACGGAGGAAGCACAAAAUCAUUCGGAUCGUACGACAAUUCUUCACUUCGCUCGGGACGGAGCUACGGAGGGGCCAGUAGGGAAAGUUCCCCUGUCAGUAACAGGUCGUCAAGAUAUGAAUACAGUGGUAGUGCUUCUCCGUCAUAUUCUACCUAUACCUCUGAAGCUUCACCACCAGUUUCACGAAAAUAUGAGAGACAGCAAGCAAGAGCGUCCGAGACAGACUAUGAACCAUAUGGAAGUAGACGCCCUCGUGAUUACGGUAACCUUCCACUUCCUCGAAAAGAAUUGGUUACCUCAGAAAGUGAUACUGAUGAUAGUGCUCCCGAAGCUGAGAAGGAUGGUCUAAAAGGACGAUAUCUCAUUUCUAGAGGAACUUCACCGAUUCCGGAAGGGGGAUCGCGUCGUGAAAUUAAACAAUAUAGACGUGGGAAAUCAAACACCAUAGCAAAAACAAAAAGAAUACGUCCCCAAAGUCGUGAAUUCCGACGGGAUGGUCGCUAUAGAGGUCGUCUUCCGACAAAUGUUGUAGACUGUGCCACACAAACUUUGGAACCACCAUCUCCCAGACGAGGAAGACGUGGUUCUGCCAGUAGCAAUGCUGGAAGUGCCGGAGUGGACAUGCGCGAGAAGGCAGCAUUGGCAGCUUUAGCCAUGAUGGAAGAUGGGGGAGGUGGAAGCGGGGCAGGGGAAGCAUUCUACAAGUAUAGAGAUAAAUUUUCGAAUCCCAUGCCACCUGGUUAUAAUGAUGACGGCAAUAAAUCAAAUAGGUAUUCUUAUAGAGACAAUGAAGCUGCUGUAGCCGAUGUGCCGGGAGAGAGAUCUUGGAGAAAGGCAGUUUAUGGCGAUGUGGAUUCGCCUAAAUUCUCUGUUGCAGAUUCAGAAGACGAGGCUCCUGUCCGCAGAAGAAGAGCUCCUAGGACAAGUACGCCAAAAUCACCAAAUGAAGUCGACAUGGAGGAACCACGAAGUUCUCGAUAUAGACCAAGAGAUUCGGACAGAGAAUCCAGACCGGAUUAUCAUCGAUCAUCUUCAAGAGACAGCAUUCUAGACGAAAAACCGAGACGUAAGCGACACAGCAGUCGCGAGCUGCUAGAUAAUCCCGUUGAACCAGAGAUUAUUGUGCAUUCUCCUGUAGAUCCACAACCUCCCGUGCUACGUCGUAAGCGACACGGAAGUAGAGAGUUACUGGAUGACUCAAUGGAGACCGAAGCUCCUUUAACGCCGGAAACUCUUUCUCUUCGUGAUAGUAUUGAAAAGGUCCAACAAUGGAAACAACAACUACCAUUGCAAGACCCUUAUUCUGGUGAUGCCCAUCCCGCACCAAGCGGUCCCGUUAGAAACUUAGAGGCUGGGUUUCCGAGAAGUGAUUCGGGUGAGUACUUCUCAGCGCAUGAUUACCCUCCCUCAAAAUCCUCUAAACACUCCGAAAGGGACCUUUCUAGUCGCGACGUUUCACCCGAUCGAAUGCGCGGUCGACGGUCAAUGCGCGAGUCUUCUCCAGCGCGUGACGAAUCUCCACCUUCCAGGAGAGGUAGGCGUGGGAAACUACGAAAUGAUCACAACAAUGAUAAUGUCUUUACAAACGACAGUGGACCGGACUCUAGAAUGCUAAAUAAAAGUUACCGAAAAUCAAAUCUCAACAGAUCACUAGAUCUCGAAGAUGAAGCAGAUGGUGAUUCUAAUAUGAGAUCCAGGAGAAGCAAUUCUAGAGGAUUAAAUCCGCCAGCACAAAACAGCCGCAAAUCGGGUAGUUCUUCCGAUGCAUUUUCCAGAGAAGAUUCUCCUAAUCGUCGACACUCUCGGCAAUCGUCAUACGAAAGCCGACGAAUACGAAGAGAAGGUUCGCGAGAUGACGCGUUAGAUGACAGAAAGCAACGUCGAGAUGGACAUCAAAGUGAUCGUGGUCAACAAAGUGAUAGUUCGCAUUAUGGUUUUAAUCGCGAAGAUUCUCCCAAUCGGUUUCAAUUUACGAAACGAAAACAAACAAGCAGGCACAGUUCACGCGAGGACAAUCUGGAUGAUCGACAAUCUUACAGCAGACAGGGAUCACAUGAUAAUGUACUUGAUGACACAGGUGCUAAAUACAAUCGUCCAAGUAGUCUGGGCGUAUCUAAUGAAAGUCUAGCUCACAUGAGCAACUCUUCCUCCACACCCUCUAUGAACUCUGUGGUACCCGAUGAUGGAAAUUUACGAAAGGCAUCGUCUUCUUCUUCAGCAAUGUCUAACGAAACAAGAGCAACAUUAAGAUCACCAAACCAACAAGGUAUGCCAAAAAGUAUAAAAAAUGAGUCAGGGCUACCAGACCUUGUCUCGGGUGCUAAUGAAACAGACAAUCAACAGUCAAGUCGUAAACCACAGCAGGCAAAGCGAACAAAAAGUGGUUUCAUUGGGGCAAAUAUGGAUAUUGACAAUUUGUUAAAUUUUAGCCAGGAUGACAAUAAAAAAGGCAAAACAAAACAGUCUAGGGAUUAUAAUGCAGACAGUAAAAAUCUUGACGAAAUAAUGAUCAAACGACCACAAAACUUGAUGGAUACACCAGUUCCCGAUCAUCCACAUCCCUUACAGCCAAAGUCGUCAGAAGAAAAACUUGUGGAUAUUGAAGAACCAAAGACGGUUCAAAACUUAGGGGCGCCUCCUCCGACAACAACACCCGAUUCCCCAAUGUCUCCCCAGAGAACACGGGGUCUGCCCUCAGCGGCCGCCCAGCAGAUGGGCAAUAUUCUGAAAAACAAUAAGGGAUCGGUCACCAUCUCCGACAUCCUGAAUCUGUGCUACAAGCCUCCUCAGCCGAAGGUCAUCCGGGUACCGGGAGUCACCAAUCCCGAGGAUGAGCUUCACUUCCGAGGAUUCACGACAGCCAAUCAAGUGUUAGAGUAUUUAGGAGUAGACACUCAGAAGUUAGAAGACUGUGCCCUACAGAUAUAUAGAUACCACAAUGGAACUCAGGGAGACUUCGGGACUUAUCUGGAUCUGGAAUCCACCAUAGACGAGCAACAAGAGGAACUAGAGGGAUUCCAAGACCAGAGGAAAAACGCCUUGAUACUGAGGACACAGCUAACAGUUCGGGUGCACGCAGUGAUCGAGAAACUUUUGAAUUCUCAUGGGAGAGAGUUGAGGCGUGCACUGUUUUCAUUAAAACAGAUAUUUCAGGAUGACAAAGACUUGGUCCAUGAAUUUGUGAACAACGAUGGUCUGGAUUGCCUCAUCAAGGUUGGAUCUGAGGCAGACCAGAACUACCAGAAUUACAUUCUCAGAGCUCUGGGACAAGUCAUGUUGUAUGUAGACGGUAUGAAUGGCGUUAUAAACCACCCAGCUACCAUUCAAUGGUUGUACUCGCUACUGGCGUCCAAGUUUCGUCUGGUUGUGAAGACAUCACUGAAGCUGUUGUUGGUGUUUGUGGAAUAUACCGAGUCCAAUACAGAUAUCUUUAUCUCCGCAGUGAAAGCAGUAGAUACCAAAAGAGGUGUAAAGCUUUGGUCCAAUAUCAUGGGGAUCCUGGAUGAAAAGGAGGGAGGAGACACAGAACUUCUUACCUAUGCCAUGACCCUAGUCAACAAGGUUCUGAAUGCCAUCCCAGACCAGGACACCUUUUAUGAUGUCACUGAUGCAUUUGAGGAACUUGGCAUGGAAAGAGUAACUCAGAGACAUAUGAACAGAAACGGAGCUGACCUUGACCUUUUAGCACAAUUUCAGAUUUAUGAGGCUGCGUUGAAGUCAGAAGACGGGGAAGAAGAUGGAGAUCAGUCGCAGAUGGAAAACCUCAGGAGAACACCAAGAAUCAAGUCAGAAGGAGAGAUGGGUAGAAAAAGUCGCAGAUUUUCUUUAGGAACAGGUCCCAGUAAAAUGGCUAAAUCCAAAAGUGUACCAGAACUCCAUCCUGCUGAAGAGUACAAACUCCGAAAAGAAAAACAGAAAGAACGAUGUCAGCUGGUCCCAGAAGAACAUGAACAACAUGACCAGUUGCCAGAUCAACAGAUCAGAAUGAAAAAGUUUGAGGAACAACAACAGAGUAUGGAGGAAGAUCGGCCUCCAGAUGAACUGGUCUCCCCAUCAGAGAACCAGGUGAACGGGACUGCAAAUCUAGAAUCCAAGGAACCCAAAUGUCGCCAGUCUUCUUACCCAGCAUAUGAAGUCAACACUAAUACACCAAGAAGUCGACAACAACGUAGAGAACGCCAGCGUUCAUUUCUUAAGGAACAGGAAAUGGAGCGAGCACGGCAACGUGUCUCUGACCGUUAUCAUGACAAUGACCGUGCUUCAGUGGCCAGCACUUCCAGCACAGGGUCAUGUGAUAGUAACUCUCAUACUGUGGAGAUUGAGUCUAAAUACUCCUCACUGAGUUCACUCAGUGAUGUAGAAACAAAUGAUCAUUCACGGGUUCACGACAAGAGAAAGGGACAACAGAAACCUACCUUACAGCCACAGAAACCAGAAGACACCAUCUCUAAAGAAUCCGGUUACAAUAGUAAUGAUGAAGCAUCUCAUGGCCAACAACACAAUCUGGAAUCAAGGAACAAUGAAAUCAACAACAGCCUCCACCAGAGUGAAAACGGUGAGAACGAGGAGAACGAGGUGCCACAAGACAUGUCCAGUAACAGUCGAUGGCUGAUGUACAUGAAGAAACAGAAGGAGAAAGAAAACGAGGAGGAAGUCCCAGAGCCAGGGGUUCUCAAACGUCACCCUUCCAUACGUGGAGACACCAGCCUCACCCAGAGGAAAGAGACUCUGGAACAAGGACUCAAGGGAAAUUCUUUAAUGCCUCCCAGACCUGUGGAAGCAUUCGAAGAGCAAGAUAACAAAUUUAAAGACCAUAUUGACAAAUUCUCCAGUGGGUCAGGUUUACCCGAGUCGAAAGAAAAGAAAGCACCAACUGGAGAUAAGUCGGGGUUAAUCAGCCGUGCCAAAGAGGGACUUCAACAACAAACCACUGUGAAAAAACCAGAACCAGCUCAGCCUGUAGAAGUUAAAAAGACAGAGAGUGAUAUUCAGUGGGAUAAGUUAUUACAAAAGUUACACAGACCUUUAAAAAUUAAAGAUCUUGAUUUCACUGAUCUCAAGGACUCUGAGGACGAGGAUGUGUUUUCUCCUCCUAAAGUGGCAUUUAAUCCAGCUUUAGGUCCUCCACCACCCCCAGGGAUGGUGCCCCCACCCCCUCCACCACCAAUGGGAGGAAUACCUCCACCCCCUCCACCACCAAUGGGAGGAAUACCUCCACCCCCUCCUUUUGGAGCUCCCCCUCCUCCUCCUCCUCCCCCAGGUGGUAUUCCUUCUCCUGGAGGAUCCCCCAGACUUGAUACACCAAAUGUAAAUCUCCCUCCACCUCCAGGAUCAACUCUGAAGAAAGUGAAAAAGACAAUAAAACUCCAUUGGAGGACUGUGCAACCAGAGAAGCCCCAUCCCUCCACCAAGGGAGAAACAAUCUGGAAAGAUAUUUUGAAUGUGAAGGUGGACCCAGAUAAAUUAGAGCAUCUGUUUGAGACCAGGAGUACUGAAAUUAACAAAAAGCGUCAGGAAGCAACAGGGAAGAAAGAGAUAACUGUGCUGGAUGCUAAGCGAUCGAACGCCAUUAACAUUGGUCUGACGGUGCUCCCUCCGCCUCGCACCAUCAAGGCGGCCAUCUUGAAAAUGGAUAAUGCCAUAAUGAACAGAGAAGGCAUUGAGAAAAUCUUGAUUGGAAUGAUCCCAACAGCGGAGGAGAAGACAAACAUUCUAGAGGCUCAGAUGGCUAAUCCAGACAUCCCUCUCGGAACUGCUGAGCAGUUUCUUCUCACACUGUCUUCCAUCAGCGAGUUGCAGGCUCGACUCUCACUCUGGCUCUUCAAGCUUGACUAUGAAACCAUAGAAACAGAAAUAUCUGACCCUCUCUGUGAUUUGAAGAAAGGCAUUGAUGAGUUAAGAAAAAACAAAACAUUCAAAUGUAUCCUGUCUGUGAUAUUAACAAUUGGAAAUUUCCUGAAUGGUGCUCAGGCCAGGGGAUUCAGUAUCGAAUACUUGGCUAAAAUUCCAGAAGUUAAAGACACGGUUCAUAAACACUCCUUACUCCAUCAUUUGUGUGCCAUCAUAAUUGAACAAUUCUCAGACACAACAGACCUUUACUCAGAGAUAGGAGCACUGGCUCGCUGUUCUAGGGUGGAUUGGGACGAAUUACAACGUAAGCUGGAGAAGUUGGAGACUGAAUGUAAAAUGUCUUGGGAUCACUUGCGUGCAAUAGCUAAACAUGAGGGUGGCUCAUCUUCCAACCUCAAGUCAAAGUUAUCCGAGUUCCUGGCUGAUGCAGCACAGCGGAUCAUGAUUUUAGAGAUUGUGUUCAAACGUGUGGUCAAUCGUUAUCAUAAACUGCUCCUCUACAUGGGAAUUCCUGUCAAUUUUGCUAAAGAUAUGAAAGUGAACUCAUUCUGUAAAAUUGUGAGUGAAUUUGCACUGGAAUACAGAACAACAAGGGAAAAAGUCAUGCAGCAAUUAGCAAAGAAGGCAAACCAGAGAGAAAGAAAGAAGACGAGGGGGAAAAUGAUUGUUGAUACGGCCAACUUCUCACGGAGUCGGUCUAAAGAUGAUGGGAACAUGAGUGAGGACCAGGCUAACUUGCACAAACUUCUGUCCAAUGGAUAUACGAGCUGUGAUGAAAGGGGUCUCGGGAUGAAAGGUCGUAGUCGAAGAUCAGGACCACUUGAUUCCAAGUUUUCAUCAUCAUCGAGAGGUUGUGUAACGACCGACUCUGAGAUGUAUGAUACUGGAGAUGAUGAAAUAUUAGAGGCAUGUGUUAGGACAGCAACAGCAGCACCGAGUCGAGCUCCCAGAGAAAGGAAACGAGCUAGCAGACACAGAAAAUCUUCUGAUUGGAGUGGUUUGAUGGCCGAAAUUGUUAAUAGCAAUUUGUACCGAACUCGCACAUUGAAGGAGGAGGAUUAGUAGAAGUCAGAUAAAUCUCAAUUCAACUGGGUGGACUGAAGUUUGGGAUACAGACACUGUGCGACGAACUCUGAAAAGUGGAUUGAAUUCUGAUGAAUUGGAUAUGGUAAAUUCCUUCUCAGAUGCAGUGUAGUGGACUUUUUCUGUUGAAUAGUCAAAAAGGGCUCCAGGUCAAACAGCCAGUGCAAGGAGGUUACAUCAAAGGAUCACUCGUUGAAAACUAACCCUAAAACUCCAUCUGUAUGAAUAUAUAUGUACUAGAUAUAUCUACGUAUGGUCCCAUUUAGUAUAAGGUAAUAGGUAUCAAUCACAUAUAAACUUAGAGUGUGAAAUGAAAUGUUUGUUGAGUUUUGAUUUAGACCAUCCACACAGUGACCAUUUAACUGAUUUUCUGUAUAUUUAUGUAUUUAUUACCUGUCUGUAAUUCCUAUAUAUGAAUGCUGUUUGGUUAUUUUAAUUGUGUGAGGAUUUAGCCCACAUUGGCUGUCUCUGUAGAUGGAGGUUUCCCGUUCAUCCAAGUCUUUCAAUUCUCUCAUGUCAGAAGUCCCUCAUUUUUAUCACCAUCCAUAAGUUUUCACACUAAAUGAUCCAUUAAAAGAUAUUCAUUCAUUAUAUAUCUUCCAUUAAUACAUGAUUUUAUUUUUUUCUUUUGAUUUUUUUUUUUUUUUUACCAGACACAGGGUAAAACGGAGGUUACUCUACUGUUGAUGACAAAGUUCUGUUUCCAAAUUGUAUUAUUUUUAUAACACCAUCUAUUGUUUAUAUUUUACAAGAGCAAAUGAACAAGAGAUUUUAAGAUUUUCAAAGACAAUAAUUAUAACUGUUUGGGCUAUUUUCAAGUUGAAGAUUUUAAAAUCUCUACUGAAUUUUUAUUUACAUGUUACAUAUACUCAUCACCCAGUGUUGACCAAAUGUAGGUUUGGUGAUGUGGUUUGAAGGUGUAGUGUGGUUUGAUAAGAUGAAUGAAUGUCUGUGAUAAAUUUUUAUUAAGUUGCAGGAAUCCUACAAGGUGACCCACUUCCACACAUCUCUUUAUUGCAUAUGUAUGUAUUGCCCAAUACUACUGUACUUGUUAAUUUUAUAGCUAUACUCGAGCAAUUUGUUAAUGAAUCUCAGAGAUUGAUUAUCUUAUAUUUCUCAAAUUUAGAUUCAAUGAAUGUGAUAUAUGUAUUUUAUACAUUUUUCAAUUAUUGAAAUGCACUUUAUCAUAAGAAAGGUAAAGAUUUACUGUGGUGCAGAUUUUUUUAAAUUAGUAUACUUUAAGAGAUUGUACAAAAUUGAUAUGAAAAUGAACAAAUUUUAUUUAUUUCAGAUUUUAUGGUAUUUUUGUUAUGUUGUUGAUUGUGUAAACCAGAGCAGGUGUGAUGGAUUAUAUGUGUGAUGUAGUGUAAUCACCUAUUGAUGCAGUAUUAUUUUAAAAGGAAAUCUAACAUAUUGUUUAUAAUAACAGAUAUGUUAUGGUGCUUUCAAUGAAAUUUGCAAUAAGUAUGAAGUAAUAAGCUUGGUUAGAGUUCGUGCAGUGUAAUGAUUAGUAUUUUAAUAGUUGUAAAAAAAUCUUUAGUUGAACAUUUAGGUGUUUGUUGUUAAGGGCAGUGGGCAAUAAUUGUCAUCAUCUGUCAAAUCUCAUCCACAAUGCCAGAGAAACUAGUCAGCCAUUUUGUAAUCUGACCUUUCAUUUGAUCCCAUUCACCAGGACGCCACAUUUGGGAGUGUCUCAGUUUGAUAUACAAUUCUUUUUUUUUUUUUAUUUAACAUCACAGACAAAUCCUGCCAUAUUUAUGUAAACACAUUUUUCAAUAAAAGUAGGGUGACAUA
RNA transcript from Ostrea edulis (European flat oyster), 11017 nucleotides. It is a transcript of the gene named FH1/FH2 domain-containing protein 3-like, with no coding region annotated. The record is from RefSeq and is a predicted model, not a curated record. NCBI's taxonomy places the organism in Eukaryota, Metazoa, Mollusca, Bivalvia, Ostreida, Ostreidae. The transcript is spliced from 30 exons.